CCUGCCCUUGGGUCCGGCAUAACCCCGGGAAACUGGGGAUAAUUCCGGAUAACGCACAUAUGCUGGAAUGCUUUACGCGUCAAAUGGAUUCGUCUGCCCAAGGAUGGGUCUGCGGCCUAUCAGGUAGUAGUGGGUGUAAUGUACCUACUAGCCGACGACGGGUACGGGUUGUGAGAGCAAGAGCCCGGAGAUGGAUUCUGAGACAUGAAUCCAGGCCCUACGGGGCGCAGCAGGCGCGAAAACUUUACAAUGCGGGAAACCGUGAUAAGGGGACACCGAGUGCCAGCAUCAUAUGCUGGCUGUCCGGGUGUGUAAAAUACACCUGUUAGCAAGGGCCGGGCAAGACCGGUGCCAGCCGCCGCGGUAACACCGGCGGCCCGAGUGGUGAUCGUGAUUAUUGGGUCUAAAGGGUCCGUAGCCGGUUUGGUCAGUCCUCCGGGAAAUCUGACGGCUUAACCGUUAGGCUUUCGGAGGAUACUGCCAGGCUUGGAACCGGGAGAGGUAAGAGGUACUACAGGGGUAGGAGUGAAAUCUUGUAAUCCCUGUGGGACCACCUGUGGCGAAGGCGUCUUACCAGAACGGGUUCGACGGUGA
RNAcentral lists this ribosomal RNA (594 nucleotides) under Methanosarcina sp. enrichment culture clone B05. RNAcentral describes it as "bacterial SSU rRNA". It matches the Rfam family "Archaeal small subunit ribosomal RNA", at positions 108 to 700 of the family's 1478-position model. Lineage: Archaea; Methanobacteriati; Methanobacteriota; Methanomicrobia; Methanosarcinales; Methanosarcinaceae. The record is from RNAcentral.